CACGUGAGCAACCUGCCCUGGACUCUGGGAUAAGCGCUGGAAACGGCGUCUAAUACUGGAUAUGAGACGUGAUCGCAUGGUCGUGUUUGGAAAGAUUUUUCGGUCUGGGAUGGGCUCGCGGCCUAUCAGCUUGUUGGUGAGGUAAUGGCUCACCAAGGCGUCGACGGGUAGCCGGCCUGAGAGGGUGACCGGCCACACUGGGACUGAGACACGGCCCAGACUCCUACGGGAGGCAGCAGUGGGGAAUAUUGCACAAUGGGCGGAAGCCUGAUGCAGCAACGCCGCGUGAGGGAUGACGGCCUUCGGGUUGUAAACCUCUUUUAGCAGGGAAGAAGCGAAAGUGACGGUACCUGCAGAAAAAGCGCCGGCUAACUACGUGCCAGCAGCCGCGGUAAUACGUAGGGCGCAAGCGUUAUCCGGAAUUAUUGGGCGUAAAGAGCUCGUAGGCGGUUUGUCGCGUCUGCUGUGAAAUCCCGAGGCUCAACCUCGGGCCUGCAGUGGGUACGGGCAGACUAGAGUGCGGUAGGGGAGAUUGGAAUUCCUGGUGUAGCGGUGGAAUGCGCAGAUAUCAGGAGGAACACCGAUGGCGAAGGCAGAUCUCUGGGCCGUAACUGACGCUGAGGAGCGAAAGGGUGGGGAGCAAACAGGCUUAGAUACCCUGGUAGUCCACCCCGUAAACGUUGGGAACUAGUUGUGGGGACCAUUCCACGGUUUCCGUGACGCAGCUAACGCAUUAAGUUCCCCGCCUGGGGAGUACGGCCGCAAGGCUAAAACUCAAAGGAAUUGACGGGGACCCGCACAAGCGGCGGAGCAUGCGGAUUAAUUCGAUGCAACGCGAAGAACCUUACCAAGGCUUGACAUAUACGAGAACGGGCCAGAAAUGGUCAACUCUUUGGACACUCGUAAACAGGUGGUGCAUGGUUGUCGUCAGCUCGUGUCGUGAGAUGUUGGGUUAAGUCCCGCAACGAGCGCAACCCUCGUUCUAUGUUGCCAGCACGUAAUGGUGGGAACUCAUGGGAUACUGCCGGGGUCAACUCGGAGGAAGGUGGGGAUGACGUCAAAUCAUCAUGCCCCUUAUGUCUUGGGCUUCACGCAUGCUACAAUGGCCGGUACAAAGGGCUGCAAUACCGUGAGGUGGAGCGAAUCCCAAAAAGCCGGUCCCAGUUCGGAUUGAGGUCUGCAACUCGACCUCAUGAAGUCGGAGUCGCUAGUAAUCGCAGAUCAGCAACGCUGCGGUGAAUACGUUCCCGGGUCUUGUACACACCGC
This 1267-nucleotide ribosomal RNA is filed under the name Microbacterium testaceum. RNAcentral's name for it is "bacterial SSU rRNA". It matches the Rfam family "Bacterial small subunit ribosomal RNA", at positions 114 to 1393 of the family's 1533-position model. The record is from RNAcentral. Lineage: Bacteria; Bacillati; Actinomycetota; Actinomycetes; Micrococcales; Microbacteriaceae.